UGAAGUCGGAAUUGCUAGUAAUCGCAGAUCAGCAUGCUGUGGUGAAUACGUUCCCGGGCCUUGUACACACCGCCCGUCACACCAUGGGAGUCGGUAACACCCAAAGUUGGUAGUCUAACCGCAAGGAGGACGCCGCCUAAGGUGGGAUUGAUGACUGGGGUGAAGUCGUAACAAGGUAGC
RNAcentral lists this ribosomal RNA (180 nucleotides) under uncultured bacterium. RNAcentral describes it as "partial 16S ribosomal RNA". It matches the Rfam family "Bacterial small subunit ribosomal RNA", at positions 1321 to 1500 of the family's 1533-position model. The record is from RNAcentral.